UCUGAAACACAAUAGUCAGAUGCACACUCUU
Molecule: non-coding RNA, 31 nt
Filed under: Mus musculus (house mouse)
Lineage: Eukaryota; Metazoa; Chordata; Mammalia; Rodentia; Muridae
Source: RNAcentral